CCUACGGGCGGCUGCAGUGGGGAAUAUUGGACAAUGGGCGAAAGCCUGAUCCAGCCAUGCCGCGUGUGUGAAGAAGGCCUUCGGGUUGUAAAGCACUUUCAGUGGGGAAGAAAGCCUUGGGGCUAAUACCCUCGAGGAAGGACAUCACCCACAGAAGAAGCACCGGCUAACUCCGUGCCAGCAGCCGCGGUAAUACGGAGGGUGCGAGCGUUAAUCGGAAUUACUGGGCGUAAAGCGCGCGUAGGCGGUCUGAUAAGCCGGUUGUGAAAGCCCCGGGCUCAACCUGGGAACGGCAUCCGGAACUGUCAGGCUAGAGUGCAGGAGAGGAAGGUAGAAUUCCCGGUGUAGCGGUGAAAUGCGUAGAGAUCAGGAGGAAUACCAGUGGCGAAGGCGGCCUUCUGGACUGACACUGACGCUGAGGUGCGAAAGCGUGGGUAGCAAACAGGAUUAGAUACCCGGGUAGUC
Molecule: ribosomal RNA, 465 nt
Filed under: Vreelandella stevensii
Lineage: Bacteria; Pseudomonadati; Pseudomonadota; Gammaproteobacteria; Oceanospirillales; Halomonadaceae
Description: partial 16S ribosomal RNA
Rfam family: Bacterial small subunit ribosomal RNA
Source: RNAcentral